Molecule: ribosomal RNA, 301 nt
Filed under: uncultured bacterium
Lineage: Bacteria
Description: partial 16S ribosomal RNA
Rfam family: Bacterial small subunit ribosomal RNA
Source: RNAcentral
CAGUCGCCGCGGUAAUACGAAGGGGGCUAGCGUUGCUCGGAAUCACUGGGCGUAAAGGGUGCGUAGGCGGGUCUUUAAGUCAGGGGUGAAAUCCUGGAGCUCAACUCCAGAACUGCCUUUGAUACUGAAGAUCUUGAGUUCGGGAGAGGUGAGUGGAACUGCGAGUGUAGAGGUGAAAUUCGUAGAUAUUCGCAAGAACACCAGUGGCGAAGGCGGCUCACUGGCCCGAUACUGACGCUGAGGCACGAAAGCGUGGGGAGCAAACAGGAUUAGAUACCCCCGUAGUCCCUGUCUCUUAUAC